CAGUAGCCACGGGAAUACGAAGGGUGCAAGCGUUACUCGGAAUUACUGGGCGUAAAGCGUGCGUAGGUGGUUGUUUAAGUCUGCUGUGAAAGCCCUGGGCUCAACCUGGGAAUUGCAGUGGAUACUGGGCGACUAGAGUAAGGUAGAGGAUAGUGGAAUUUCCGGUGUAGCAGUGAAAUGCGUAGAGAUCGGAAGGAACAUCUGUGGCGAAGGCGACUAUCUGGGCCAUUACUGACACUGAGGCACGAAAGCGUGGGGAGCAAACAGGAUUAGAUACCCCCGUAGUCCCUGUCUCUUAUCC
This 301-nucleotide ribosomal RNA is filed under the name uncultured bacterium. RNAcentral's name for it is "partial 16S ribosomal RNA". It matches the Rfam family "Bacterial small subunit ribosomal RNA", at positions 509 to 809 of the family's 1533-position model. The record is from RNAcentral.